CUUAAAGUAAUAUUCAUAUGUUUAUUAUGAACCAAAUAGAAAAAUAUUAUGACUGUAAGCAAGACGGAUGUAUAACCACACCACCAUGCUGGAGAAAAUGCGUGUCUAUGGGAUACCCGAAAGGAGGAGAAUGUCGAAUAUACAGUUAUGGCGGUGUUUGUUGUUGUGACCUCACUUCUAAGCCUCCUAAUUAAAAAAAAUUUCAUUAUAAAUGUACUCCCAAUAAUAUAUGAAA
This 235-nucleotide small RNA is filed under the name Arabidopsis thaliana (thale cress). RNAcentral describes it as "ATSL055020". Lineage: Eukaryota; Viridiplantae; Streptophyta; Magnoliopsida; Brassicales; Brassicaceae. The record is from RNAcentral.